UUUUUUUUUGAGAAGAAACGAGAGAAAAUAUAUAAAAAGAGGGCAAAACAAGGAAAGAAAAGGACAGCCAAGGGGACAAGAUAACCACCAGGCGCAGGGAAAAAGCCAGGAGAAAACCCCUGAACUAGAAAAAAACUAACUAGAAAAACAAGAAAGGCUACGCCAAAUCAAAAGACAGCUGCCACCAAAUCCCUAGCAAUUGAAAGAG
RNAcentral lists this long non-coding RNA (208 nucleotides) under Malus domestica (apple). Its description in RNAcentral is "long non-coding RNA (MDOM_LNC010568)". Lineage: Eukaryota; Viridiplantae; Streptophyta; Magnoliopsida; Rosales; Rosaceae. The record is from RNAcentral.